RNAcentral lists this ribosomal RNA (492 nucleotides) under uncultured bacterium. Its description in RNAcentral is "partial 16S ribosomal RNA". It matches the Rfam family "Bacterial small subunit ribosomal RNA", at positions 29 to 507 of the family's 1533-position model. The record is from RNAcentral.
AGUGAACGCUGGCGGUAGGCCUAACACAUGCAAGUCGAACGGCAGCACAGUAAGAGCCUGCUCUUACGGGUGGCGAGUGGCGGACGGGUGAGGAAUACAUCGGAAUCUACUUUUUCGGGGGGGAUAACGUAGGGAAACUUACGCUAAUACCGCAUACGACCUACGGGUGAAAGCAGGGGAUCUUCGGACCUUGCGCGAUUGAAUGAGCCGAUGUCGGAUUAGCUAGUUGGCGGGGUAAAGGCCCACCAAGGCGACGAUCCGUAGCUGGUCUGAGAGGAUGAUCAGCCACACUGGAACUGAGACACGGUCCAGACUCCUACGGGAGGCAGCAGUGGGGAAUAUUGGACAAUGGGCGCAAGCCUGAUCCAGCCAUACCGCGUGAGUGAAGAAGGCCUUCGGGUUGUAAAGCCCUUUUGUUGGGAAAGAAAAGCAGCAGAUUAAUCCCCCGCUGUUCUGACGGUACCCAAAGAGUAAGCACCGGCUAACUUCGUG